CGUAUAUUAAAGUUGUUGCAGUUAAAAAGCUCGUAGUUGGAUUUGUGGCGUACGACGGGCUCCGGGCACUUGUUGUCUGAGUAGCUUGUCGUUGCCAUCCUUGGGUGGAAUCUGUGUGGCAUUAGGUUGUCGUGCAGGGGAUGCCCAUCUUUUACUGGGAAAAAAUUAGAGUGUUCAAAGCAGGCUUAUGCCGUUGAAUAUAUUAGCAUGGAAUAAUAAGAUAGGACUUUGUCGCUAUUUUGUUGGUUUGCGCGAUAAGGUAAUGAUUAAUAGGGACAGUUGGGGG
Molecule: ribosomal RNA, 286 nt
Filed under: uncultured diatom
Lineage: Eukaryota; Bacillariophyta
Description: partial 18S ribosomal RNA
Rfam family: Eukaryotic small subunit ribosomal RNA
Source: RNAcentral